Psammomys obesus (fat sand rat) is the source of this 1865-nucleotide long non-coding RNA. RefSeq lists it as uncharacterized. The transcript is spliced from 4 exons. The record is from RefSeq and is a predicted model, not a curated record. Lineage: Eukaryota; Metazoa; Chordata; Mammalia; Rodentia; Muridae.
GGGUAAAAAGGCUUUCUGUUUUCUGGUUUGGCCCUGGUUAGUCUUAAACUGGAGGGCUGAUGUGCCCCGCAAGCUCAGUGCUGCUCCACCGCCAGGUUAGAAAGUCCCGUUGUAACUGGAGACUGGGUUGCUGGUCCAAAUGUUUUCUGGGAAGUCCUGGGGUCUCUUCACUGUGCUCUCCCAGGGCCUGGUGUGCCUAGCUAGUGUGGCAUUUCUGUCUGGUUUUGUUUGUUAAUAUGGUGUAUCACAUUGAUGGAUUUCCGUAUAUUGAACCACCCCUGCAUACCUAGGAUGAAGCCUAUUUGGUCAUGGUGGAUGAUAUCUUUGAUGUGUUUUGGUGAGCCCUGAUUACGUGAUCCAUGUGGAUCUUCCAAUUCUCUUAGCAUCAAGGAAAAAUAUCUGACAGAAGCCAUAUGAAGAAGAAAUUAUUUGUCUCACAUUUUGAAGGUGUACUCCAUCAUACCAGGGAGGGGAGAGUAGGAGCAUUGAGAGGUGGCAGGUGUCACUGCAUCCAACUUCAGGAAGCAGAGAUAGAAGAAUGCUCUUUCUUACUUUUGUUUCUCAGUCUAGGAAGCCCUUGCCAAAAAGAAGGAAGAACCCUCCUUCUUCUUACCUCAGUUAAACUUUCAGGAUCUGCCCCGUACAUCCAUGUCUCCAUAGAGAUUCUGAAUCCAAUCAAGUCGACAAUGAAACUUAACCAUUGCUCUAUCAAAGGCGUGGUCAAUUUCCUAGAAGGAGGCAUUUCUAUUUAACAAGUCCUUGUGACAGAAGCUGCCUCCUCAAACAUUCAUAUAUCCCUUGAAAAGUCCCCACCAAUGGCCAGUGGUUUAUGCCCUGUCCUCACUGCUACUUCUUCACUUUCUGUCCCCAUCACUGGCCAUGUCUUCACUUCCUGGUAUUAGAUAAUCAAAGAUUAUUUUCUCAUUUAAAAAAUAUUCCCCAGCACAUUUCUCAAGUCAAACUUACUCUAGCAAAUUAGUUCUUAUCACCACAAAUAAUACUUAGGAAGCAAAACACAGACAGAGACUCUGUGCAGAUACUCAUGCACAGACAAGAAAUAAACAUGUGUGUGUCCACAUAGAUACACAUACAGAUAAGAGAAAUGAGAAUACAAUGGUGUUUCCAUAUCACCCAGAAAAUGAUCACACCAGAUAACAGGCUGUGAGGAUCUCCCAUGCCCAGUCUCACUGUAUCAAAGAUAUGAGGAUUAGAGCAAGGCAAAUAUGAGAAGGCACAGCACCAGCAAGAAGCAAUUUGGAAAAAAGGUCUCUGGGGCUGUGUCUUUUCCAGGUACAGCCAUCACAGCUUAGCAAAACAGUGGUAUGUCUGCUAAAAUCUCACCUGCCCACUGUAGCUUCUCCUUCAUGUCAUCUUGAAUGGCCAGCCUGCUAACAGGAACUCAGCAAUUGUUCAUAGCUUAUCAUAUAGUGAAACAAACUGUUAAGUGUAGGGGCCCAUCAAAUACACCUGUAUAAGUCACAGUUGUCUCAAGGUGUAGAACAGUUACAUCCUGGCAGACAGGUUACUUAUGGACAACCUGCUUUUGAAUUGUAAUAUCAUUUGUGUACAGAUUUUAUUUUAUGUUAAUUUUUGAAAUGGGGAUUUUCUGUAUAGGUUUGUAUUUCCUGGAACUUGAUCUAUAGAUCAGGCUGGACAUAAGGUCAUAGAGUUCUAGCUGCCUCUGCCUCUAGAGUGCUGGGAUUAGAAGCUUGGAGCACCAAUGCUCAGCUGUGUGUAGACUGAAUUACCUUAGCACUUUAAAAAGUACAAAUAAGCUAAGAAUGUUAUAAAACUGAGUUUGAUCCCAAGAACCCACAAGAAGGUGACAGAAAAAUUCUCUCUCUCUCUCUCUCUCUCUCUCUCUC